RNAcentral lists this ribosomal RNA (468 nucleotides) under uncultured bacterium. RNAcentral's name for it is "partial 16S ribosomal RNA". It matches the Rfam family "Bacterial small subunit ribosomal RNA", at positions 28 to 507 of the family's 1533-position model. The record is from RNAcentral.
GACGAACGCUGGCGGCGUGCUUAACACAUGCAAGUCGAACGGAAAGACCAAGCUUUUGUGGGGUGCUCGAGUGGCGAACGGGUGAGUAACAAGUGAGUAACCUGCCCUUGAAUUUGGGAUAACUUCAGGAAACAGGGGCUAAUACCGGCUAGGAGCGUCGGAUGCAUGGUGGGGGGUGGAAAGUUUCGGCGGUUGGGGAUGGACUCGCGGCUUAUCAGCUUGCUGGUGGGGUAGUGGUUUCCCCAGGCAUUGACUGGUAGACGACAUUAGAGGGGGACCGGCGACCUGCGGCCUGCGAGACGGAGCAGACGCCUACGUUAGGCAGUAGGGGGGAAUAUUGCACAGUGGGCGCAAGCCUAAGGCGGCAACGCUGCGGGUGGGAUGUCCGCCUUCCGGUUGUAAACCGCUUACGCCUGUUACGAAUCCUGAUUGACGGUAAUGGGUAAAGAAGCACCGGCUAACUACGUG